Molecule: ribosomal RNA, 428 nt
Filed under: uncultured bacterium
Lineage: Bacteria
Description: bacterial SSU rRNA
Rfam family: Bacterial small subunit ribosomal RNA
Source: RNAcentral
AACGCUGGCGGCAUGCCUAACACAUGCAAGUCGAACGAGACCUUCGGGUCUAGUGGCGCACGGGUGCGUAACACGUGGAAUUUGCCUCGGGGUAUGGAAUAACUCAGGGAAACUUGAGCUAAUACCAUAUAAUGUCUUCGGACCAAAGAUUUAUCGCCCUGAGAUAAGCCCGCGUAGGAUUAGCUAGUUGGUGAGGUAAAGGCUCACCAAGGCGACGAUCCUUAGCUAGUCUGAGAGGAUGAUCAGCCACACUGGGACUGAGACACGGCCCAGACUCCUACGGGAGGCAGCAGUGGGGAAUAUUGGACAAUGGGCGAAAGCCUGAUCCAGCAAUGCCGCGUGAGUGAUGAAGGCCUUCGGGUUGUAAAGCUCUUUUACUCGGGACGAUAAUGACGGUACCGAGAGAAUAGGCCCCGGCUAACUCCGUG